Molecule: ribosomal RNA, 460 nt
Filed under: uncultured bacterium
Lineage: Bacteria
Description: partial 16S ribosomal RNA
Rfam family: Bacterial small subunit ribosomal RNA
Source: RNAcentral
CCUACGGGAGGCUGCAGUGAGGAAUAUUGGUCAAUGGACGAGAGUCUGAACCAGCCAAGUAGCGUGAAGGAUGACUGCCCUAUGGGUUGUAAACUUCUUUUAUAUGGGAAUAAAAUGUUCCACGUGUGGGAUUUUGUAUGUACCAUAUGAAUAAGGAUCGGCUAACUCCGUGCCAGCAGCCGCGGUAAUACGGAGGAUCCGAGCGUUAUCCGGAUUUAUUGGGUUUAAAGGGAGCGUAGGUGGAUUGUUAAGUCAGUUGUGAAAGUUUGCGGCUCAACCGUAAAAUUGCAGUUGAUACUGGCAGUCUUGAGUACAGUAGAGGUGGGCGGAAGUCGUGGUGUAGCGGUGAAAUGCUUAGAUAUCACGAAGAACUCCGAUUGCGAAGGCAGUUCACUGGACUGCAACUGACACUGAGGCUCGAAAGUGUGGGUAUCAAACAGGAUUAGAUACCCCAGUAGUC